GACGAACGCUGGCGGCGUGCUUAACACAUGCAAGUCGAACGGAAAGGCCCUGCGUUUGUGGGGUGCUCGAGUGGCGAACGGGUGAGUAACACGUGAGUAACCUGCCCUUGACUUUGGGGUAACUUCAGGAAACUGGGGCUAAUACCGGAUAGGAGCUCCUGCUGCAUGGGGGGGGUUGGAAAGUUUCGGCGGUUGGGGAUGGACUAGCGGCUUAUCAGCUUGUUGGUGUGGUAGGGGCUUACCAAGGCUUUGACGGGUAGCCUGCCUGAGAGGGUGAACGGCCACAUGGGGACUGCGAUACGGCCCAGACUCCAACGGGAGGCAGCAGUGGGGAAUAUUGCACAAUGGGCGGAAGCCUGAUGCAGCAACGCCGCGUGCGGGAUGACGGCCUUCGGGUUGUAAACCGCUUUCGCCUGUGACGAAGCGUGAGUGACGGUAAUGGGUAAAGAAGCACCGGCUAACUACGUG
This 468-nucleotide ribosomal RNA is filed under the name uncultured bacterium. Its description in RNAcentral is "partial 16S ribosomal RNA". It matches the Rfam family "Bacterial small subunit ribosomal RNA", at positions 28 to 507 of the family's 1533-position model. The record is from RNAcentral.